Molecule: long non-coding RNA, 273 nt
Filed under: Numida meleagris (helmeted guineafowl)
Lineage: Eukaryota; Metazoa; Chordata; Aves; Galliformes; Numididae
Description: lncRNA (ENSNMEG00000003836.1)
Source: RNAcentral
AUGGCUCAGCUGGAACCCUUAUUCCAUCAGAAGAUGACGGUAAUGCCUGCAGCCUGUAGUUUGGCUUUGGAGCCCACUCCUUCCCAGCCUGGAUGCUGCCUUCAACUGUGUUGUAUCACUCUGAAUAAGCUUUGUGCUGCAUCGCAUUGCAGCAAACUGUUGCAUUGCAAACAAAUAGUGUUGCUCAGCACUAAAUCAUCAAACAGUUGAAUUCACUGCUGCUUGUGCCCCUUCUACCUCCACAUGUAAACCUAUAGUUUAAUGUGACCCAUG